RNAcentral lists this ribosomal RNA (379 nucleotides) under Actinobacteria bacterium BACL4 MAG-120507-bin0. Its description in RNAcentral is "bacterial LSU rRNA". It matches the Rfam family "Bacterial large subunit ribosomal RNA", at positions 2547 to 2925 of the family's 2925-position model. Lineage: Bacteria; Bacillati; Actinomycetota; Actinomycetes. The record is from RNAcentral.
CUGGGGCUGGAGUAGGUCCCAAGGGUUGGGCUGUUCGCCCAUUAAAGAGGCACGCGAGCUGGGUUCAGAACGUCGUGAGACAGUUCGGUCCCUAUCUUCCGUGCGCGAAGGAAACUUGAGAAGGGCUGUCCCUAGUACGAGAGGACCGGGACGGACGAACCUCUUGUGUGUCGGUUGUUUCGCCAGAAGCACGGCCGAUUAGCAACGUUCGGAAGGGAUAACCGCUGAAAGCAUCUAAGCGGGAAGCUCGCUUCAAGAUUAGGUUUCCCACUGGUUUACCAGGUAAGACCCCCAAGAGACUAUUGGGUUGAUAGGCCGGAAGUGGAAGAGGCGCAAGCCUUGCAGCUGACCGGUACUAAUAGGUCGAGGAUUUAACUAC